Carcharodon carcharias (great white shark) is the source of this 554-nucleotide long non-coding RNA. RefSeq lists it as uncharacterized. The transcript has 2 exons. NCBI's taxonomy places the organism in Eukaryota, Metazoa, Chordata, Chondrichthyes, Lamniformes, Lamnidae. The record is from RefSeq and is a predicted model, not a curated record.
AAUGACACCCACUGGAGGACUGGAUCACGAAGCAACUCAGGCCAGAGGAAAGUGAUGGCAGGACGGGUUUCACAGGCAUGAAGCUUCCUUGGCAUUUAUGAUCCCUGGAUGAUUAAUGGACUUGGAGAGUUCACAUUGUCUCGGUGUUUGUGUCAGGCUACUGUGAGUCUUAUGACGCAGCUGAGGCUGUCUUUGUUGCAAGGAAUGUCUGUGAUCAAACUUUAAAUUGUUGUAAAUAUCUUUUGUUACCAACUGGCUUAUCAGUAAUUGUUCAGUUAAAUAUUGUACCCUCCAUUUGAAAGGACAUCAUUUUAUAUAAUUUCUGCCAACAAUUUUCUUCCUAUAUUUCCAUUUUUGUGCAGAGACUUGUGGUAAUCUGAGGUGUAAUACACCUUUAAGAGAAUGUGAGCAGAUUGACUGCGUGACUGUAAGACCCAAUAGCUGUGCGGCGUGGGUUACCAUGUUGAUGUUAGUCCAGAGUGGGGUCUGGUUGGGGAAGCACAUACCAUGUUAGUGCUCUGUUGUUUGUGUAAAUAAAUAGUAUGUGCAUCGUU